UACGGAGGGUGCAAGCGUUGCUCGGAAUUAUUGGGCGUAAAGCGCACGUAGGCGGCCGUGUAAGUCGGGUGUGAAAGCCCUGGGCUCAACCCAGGAAGUGCACUCGAAACUGCUCGGCUUGAGUAUGGAAGAGGGUUGCGGAAUUCCCGGUGUAGAGGUGAAAUUCGUAGAUAUCGGGAGGAACACCAGUGGCGAAGGCGGCAACCUGGGCCAAUACUGACGCUGAGGUGCGAAAGCGUGGGGAGCAAACAGG
Molecule: ribosomal RNA, 253 nt
Filed under: uncultured bacterium
Lineage: Bacteria
Description: partial 16S ribosomal RNA
Rfam family: Bacterial small subunit ribosomal RNA
Source: RNAcentral